GAUCCUGGCUCAGGAUGAACGCUAGCUACAGGCUUAACACAUGCAAGUCGAGGGGAAACGACAUCGAAAGCUUGCUUCCGAUAGGCGUCGACCGGCGCACGGGCGAGUAACGCGUAUCCAACCUGCCCACCACUUGGGGAUAACCUUGCGAAAGUAAGACUAAUACCCAAUGAUAUCUCUAGAAGACAUCUGAAAGAGAUUAAAGAUUCAUCGGUGAUGGAUGGGGAUGCGU
Molecule: ribosomal RNA, 232 nt
Filed under: uncultured bacterium
Lineage: Bacteria
Description: partial 16S ribosomal RNA
Rfam family: Bacterial small subunit ribosomal RNA
Source: RNAcentral